CUCUCUUUUGUUUUGAAGCACAGAUUAAAAAACCUCUUCUGUGUUUUCUCUAGGCCUUUGGACAUUUUGGAUUCACAGUGGUGGCAGGUCAUGAAGCAUCUUUUCUUAUUUAGGGAAUCAUUCUAUUUGUUAUCAUAAUGUGGCAAGAGAAGACAUCCCCAAGUGGAAAGGGUUGGCAAUCCCUGCAACUGGUAAUCCCAUUUUCUGAAACAGCCCAUAACUGUGGAAAUGAAUGAAGAAAAGUGACCCACACUGAGAAGC
Molecule: long non-coding RNA, 261 nt
Filed under: Phascolarctos cinereus (koala)
Lineage: Eukaryota; Metazoa; Chordata; Mammalia; Diprotodontia; Phascolarctidae
Description: lncRNA (ENSPCIG00000032055.1)
Source: RNAcentral